Molecule: ribosomal RNA, 425 nt
Filed under: uncultured bacterium
Lineage: Bacteria
Description: partial 16S ribosomal RNA
Rfam family: Bacterial small subunit ribosomal RNA
Source: RNAcentral
GAAUAUUGGACAAUGGGCGAAAGCCUGAUCCAGCCAUGCCGCGUGUGUGAAGAAGGUCUUCGGAUUGUAAAGCACUUUAAGUGGGGAGGAAGGGUUGUAUUCUAAUACCUUGAAAUUUUGACGUUAACAACAGCAUAAGCAACGGCUCAUUUCAUGCCAGCAGCCGCGGUAAUACGAAGGGUGCAAGCGUUAAUCGGAAUUACUGGGUGUAAAGAGCGCGUAGGUGGUUCGUUAAGUUGGAAGUGAAAGCCCCGGGCUUAACCUGGGAAUUGCUUUCAAAACUGACGAGCUAGAGUACGGUAGAGGGUAGUGGAAUUGCCUGUGUAGCGGUGAAAUGCGUAGAUAUAGGAAGGAACAUCAGUGGCGAAGGCGACUACCUGGACUGAUACUGACACUGAGGUGCGAAAGAGUGGGGAGCAAACAGG